CGGGGCUGGGCGCUGGGUCCCCGGCGCGCGUCGAGGCUGCACCUGGAGCGCGCCGGGCCGCGCCGCCGGCGCGUCCUCUUCGUCCUCGUCCUCGUCCUCCGCGUCCGCGUCCCCUGGGGCGCCGGCCUCGCCGUCCUCGUCGCCCCCAGCGCUCGCGCCCUCGCCGUCCUCGUCCUCGUCCUCCUCCCAGGUCGAGUCGCAGUCCGGGUCGUCCAUGCUCGGGCGGCGGCGGGACCCGCGCUCCGGCGGAAGCGAAAGUGAGCGAAGGAGGAAGCGUGGGGGAGGGCCGGGGGCGGGGCCGGGGCGGGAUCGGGGCGGGGCCGGGGGCGGGGCCGCCGGCGCCGUCCGCCCCGAGAAGGCCCCCCACGCUCCGAGCACAGCCCCUCCCGGAGAACGUCACUCCGGAGGGCGCCCGCCCCCUUCCUCGCUGGGAUUGCCCCCAGGGUGUCCCCCCAGGACCCCCCCUACACGAUAUCCCUUCCCUUUGGGAGAAGACACCUCCCCCAGGAUGCCCUCUGGAGUAUACCGGCUCUACAGGUAUGUCCCUGGGGGAUGCUCGUCCCAGAGAAUCACCCCAGAAUGCCCCUGAGGACAACCUCCCCCCAGAGGAAGACGCCUACCUGCUGGAAACCCCCUCCUCCAGAAUAUCCCUCUUCCCAGAGGAUGUUCUCCUGGAGGAAGUCAACCCACCCCCUGGAGGAUGCCCACAGGAGGAUGUCCGUCCACAGGGCUGACCCCAGGAGCAUAACCCCUGGGAGCUGUCCUCCCCAGAAGGGAGGCCUCCCCCCCAGGAUGCUCCCACGCGGGAUGCCCUCCAGGUGUAGGCUGGGGCUGUGGUCUCACGAGAGGCUCCUUUGGAGAGCAGUCUGCUUCCGCGGUCCCCCAGCCUGUGGGCAGAAGUCAUUCUCGGGUGGUGGGACACGGAUCCUCGUGUCCCUUCACAGACGGUUCACAACUGGGCAGUUUGCUUCCAUAAGGCCAGCAGGAGGGUGUCUUUCAGUGUGCCGGGAGUCGUCUGCACCGUCACCGUGGGCCUGGCCUCUGCCCCUUUGCCACAUCCUAUCAGGGGUAAGUGACCUCCCACAGAUUCCCUUAAUCUGUGCCCUCACAUCUGCUGGUGGCCGCGGGAGUUGCAGCAAAGUUGGAGACCCGCCCCUCAACAUGCAACUUGGGAGUGGCCCGCCCAGUCUCACCUGGCUGGAGCCUGUGUACACACGACCUCACUCUCUAAGAGGACGGAGGUGCCCCCCCCCCCCGGAACGGACAUCUGGGCAUUUCUGUAAAAGGUGGCCCCGCGAGGCCCCGGCCAGGACAUCGGGCAGAUGACACCGGGAGGCCCUGCCGCAGGGCCGGGACGACGGACCCUCCCAGACGCUGCCCGAUUUCCGCUCGACAAGGAAGAGUCACCCCGAACCGCACCUCCGGCUGCUUUUGUGCAGUUUGCCUGGGGCUCCGCAGGGCGCGUUAACCCGGGAGCCCAGAUUUCUGCUGCAGAAGAAGUCUUGUGCUGUUUCCUCCCCUCUGCAGCCUGGGGACGCCCGCUGUGGGCUCAGGGCUCUGGACAGCUGGCCGCCCAGGCUGGGGCGGGGCUGAGCGGGGGGGGCAGGACUGGG
This 1613-nucleotide long non-coding RNA is filed under the name Lynx canadensis (Canada lynx). RNAcentral's name for it is "lncRNA (ENSLCNG00005010512.1)". The record is from RNAcentral. Lineage: Eukaryota; Metazoa; Chordata; Mammalia; Carnivora; Felidae.